AAACUACUCAUAGAAGAUGACUCC
This 24-nucleotide non-coding RNA is filed under the name Arabidopsis thaliana (thale cress). The record is from RNAcentral. Lineage: Eukaryota; Viridiplantae; Streptophyta; Magnoliopsida; Brassicales; Brassicaceae.